AUUGAACGCUGGCGGCAUGCCUUACACAUGCAAGUCGAACGGCAGCACGGGUGCUUGCACCUGGUGGCGAGUGGCGAACGGGUGAGUAAUACAUCGGAACAUGUCCUGUAGUGGGGGAUAGCCCGGCGAAAGCCGGAUUAAUACCGCAUACGACCUACGGAUGAAAGCGGGGGGCCUUCGGCGCUCGCGCUAUGGGGUUGGCCGAUGGCUGAUUAGCUAGUUGGUGGGGUAAAGGCCUACCAAGGCGACGAUCAGUAGCUGGUCUGAGAGGACGACCAGCCACACUGGGACUGAGACACGGCCCAGACUCCUACGGGAGGCAGCAGUGGGGAAUUUUGGACAAUGGGCGAAAGCCUGAUCCAGCAAUGCCGCGUGUGUGAAGAAGGCCUUCGGGUUGUAAAGCACUUUUGUCCGGAAAGAAAUCCUUGGCCCUAAUACGGUCGGGGGAUGACGGUACCGGAAGAAUAAGCACCGGCUAACUACGUG
RNAcentral lists this ribosomal RNA (486 nucleotides) under uncultured bacterium. RNAcentral describes it as "partial 16S ribosomal RNA". It matches the Rfam family "Bacterial small subunit ribosomal RNA", at positions 30 to 507 of the family's 1533-position model. The record is from RNAcentral.